CCACGGGAGGCUGCAGUGAGGAAUAUUGGUCAAUGGACGCAAGUCUGAACCAGCCAUGCCGCGUGCAGGAAGACGGCUCUAUGAGUUGUAAACUGCUUUUGUACGAGGGUAAACGCAGAUACGCGUUUCCGUCUGAAAGUAUCGUACGAAUAAGGAACGGCUAACCCCGGGCCAGCAGCCGCGGUUAAACGGAGGGUUCAAGCGUUUAUCGGAUUUAUUGGGUUUAAAGGGUGCGUAUGCGGUCGGAUAAGUUAGAGGUGAAAUCCCGAGGCUCAACUUCGGAAUUGCCUCUGAUACUGUUCGGCUAGAGAGUAGUUGCGGUAGGCGGAAUGUAUGGUGUAGCGGUGAAAUGCUUAGAGAUCAUACAGAACACCGAUUGCGAAGGCAGCUUACCAAGCUACUUCUGACGUUGAGGCACGAAAGCGUGGGGAGCAAACAGGAUUAGAUACCCCUGUAGUC
Molecule: ribosomal RNA, 459 nt
Filed under: uncultured bacterium
Lineage: Bacteria
Description: partial 16S ribosomal RNA
Rfam family: Bacterial small subunit ribosomal RNA
Source: RNAcentral